CAACAGAAGAAGCACCGGCUAACUUCGUCCCAGCAGCCGCGGUAAUACGGAGGGUGCGAGCGUUAAUCGGAAUUACUGGGCGUAAAGCGCACGCAGGCGGUUUGUUAAGCUAGAUGUGAAAGCCCCGGGCUCAACCUGGGAUGGUCAUUUAGAACUGGCAGACUAGAGUCUUGGAGAGGGGAGUGGAAUUCCAGGUGUAGCGGUGAAAUGCGUAGAGAUCUGGAGGAACAUCAGUGGCGAAGGCGACUCCCUGGCCAAAGACUGACGCUCAUGUGCGAAAGUGUGGGUAGCGAACAGGAUUAGAUACCCUGGUAGUCCACACCGUAAACGCUGUCUACUAGCUGUGUGUGUAUUUUAUACGUGCGUAGCGAAGCUAACGCGCUAAGUAGACCGCCUGGGGAGUACGGCCGCAAGGUUAGAAACUCAAAUGAAUUGACGGGGGCCCGCACAAGCGGUGGAGCAUGUGGUUUAAUUCGAUGCAACGCGAAGAACCUUACCUACACUUGACAUGCAGAGAACUUUCUAGAGAUAGAUUGGUGCCUUCGGGAACUCUGACACAGGUGCUGCAUGGCUGUCGUCAGCUCGUGUCGUGAGAUGUUGGGUUAAGUCCCGCAACGAGCGCAACCCUUGUCCUUAGUUGCCAGCCUUAAGUUGGGCACUCUAAGGAGACUGCCGGUGACAAACCGGAGGAAGGUGGGGACGACGUCAAGUCAUCAUGGCCCUUACGUGUAGGGCUACACACGUGCUACAAUGGCAAGUACAGAGGGAAGCGAGACAGUGAUGUGGAGCGGACCCCUUAAAGCUUGU
RNAcentral lists this ribosomal RNA (807 nucleotides) under uncultured bacterium. RNAcentral's name for it is "bacterial SSU rRNA". It matches the Rfam family "Bacterial small subunit ribosomal RNA", at positions 479 to 1286 of the family's 1533-position model. The record is from RNAcentral.